AUAAGAAUGCCAACUGUUAAAUCAACAAUGGGAGUCACUGGGUACAUGCUCCCCACGUAGGAUCUCUGUCCUUAAUGUGUUUUACUAUGAAGCUUAAAACAACACUACUAGUCGAACAAUACCCUAUACCUUGUGUGGUUGUGUGAGUACAGCCUGUUGAAAUCCUUGCUUAGUAUAUACUAAGUUGAUCUUCAGUAUAUGAAGCACAUACUUCAAGGAAGCAUUAGAGAAUAUGAAAAUAACUGGGAACUUACUGAAAAGCAAACAUCUGUUAAUGGCAUCCCAAAAGCAAGAACGCAAAAUAGUUCAUUUCCAAUCCACACCUUAAUGUUUCUUUGAAAGAUUCUCAACUUCCAAGACUUGAUAAUGAGAAUAAUUAACAGGAAAAAGUUAAAUUCUCAUAUGUCUCCAGACGUUUCUUAGCAUCUUGGAAGAAAUGCAGAAUGAAAAGUUUAUUUCAACAUUCUCAAAACAGAAAACCUUGUGGAUGCAAGACUAUUUAUGUACGUUCAACUAACAUUUUGAAAGUCAACAUGAAAUAGCUGAAUACGAUAUUUAAAUGUAGAGGUUCUAAAAAUGAUAUAAACAUCACCACUGGCUUCAACGUUUCCCCAAAGAUGCAGCCUAAGUUCUCACUCUGCUAGAUAAAAAAUUCCAAAUACCUGAAGCUCACAUAAUGAUAGCUUUUCAGUGUCUGGAUGAUCCCACUGCUGGCGUAACCCAAACCUCAUCCAUCAAGUGUUGAUCCUGCGCUCCAUCUGGAGAAAAGUAAAAGCCGUGGGUGAAUGCUUCAGGAGAAAGAUGGGAGUGCCCACCGCCUGUCACCUGGUUUUACAUGCUGUGAUGCCUGUGCAACACUUAGCACUGUGCAUGCAAGUUAGCAAAUGAAUGAAGAAUAAGCUAUCUCCGUUCAGCACUCAUAGUGCUGAACCCUCUUGGUUGUUCCUUCCCUGCCUCUUGCCUCCAUUGGGCCUCUAUAAAUAUAUCUAUAGUCUCCAGCCUACUAGAUCACAAAAAUGUACAGACACAGUAUGCAGAGUACCAAGGCACCUGACAACCAAUCAUGGCAUUCUUAACAAACAUACACAGAAAUGUGAACGGACUGACAGACUGAAGGGUCCUCAAGGCCCGGGAGGGAUAUUCAAUGUAGAAUGAUUCAGAAAAAGCCUAUCAAUGACUUCAUGAAUGAAACCAAGAAAUGCAAAUAAAAGAGAAGUUUUGCGUACAGUAAGUAUAGACAAACUUUUUUCAUACUUUUUCUGAGAAUAACACAAAAGUUGGAAAAAACCAAACAACAUCUACAAGCAUUACAUCAAAAAGUUCACAGAAAUGAAAUUAAAAGAUGUUUACUUGGUGCAAAAAUCUUUGGAAAUCCAUGCAUAGCUUUUUCAUAAUACACAUUUUCCAUAAACUUUUCCAAGAUAUCUCAUAUUUGAAGAUUUAGAGACAAGUCUAUUAGACUUGUACAUU
This is a non-coding RNA of Oryctolagus cuniculus (rabbit), 1470 nucleotides long. The record is from RefSeq and is a predicted model, not a curated record. Lineage: Eukaryota; Metazoa; Chordata; Mammalia; Lagomorpha; Leporidae.